RNAcentral lists this ribosomal RNA (492 nucleotides) under uncultured bacterium. Its description in RNAcentral is "partial 16S ribosomal RNA". It matches the Rfam family "Bacterial small subunit ribosomal RNA", at positions 29 to 507 of the family's 1533-position model. The record is from RNAcentral.
AGUGAACGCUGGCGGUAGGCCUAACACAUGCAAGUCGAACGGCAGCACAGUAAGAUCUUGCUCUUACGGGUGGCGAGUGGCGGACGGGUGAGGAAUACAUCGGAAUCUACUUUUUCGUGGGGGAUAACGUAGGGAAAUUUACGCUAAUACCGCAUACCACCUCCGGGUGAAAGCAGUGGAUCUUCGGACCUUGCGCGAUUGAAUGAGCCGAUGUCGGAUUAGCUAGUUGGCGGGGUAAAGGCCCACCAAGGCGACGAUCCGUAGCUGGUCUGAGAGGAUGAUCAGCCACACUGGAACUGAGACACGGUCCAGACUCCUACGGGAGGCAGCAGUGGGGAAUAUUGGACAAUGGGCGCAAGCCUGAUCCAGCCAUACCGCGUGGGUGAAGAAGGCCUUCGGGUUGUAAAGCCCUUUUGUUGGGAAAGAAAAGCAGCAGGUUAAUACCCCGCUGUUCUGACGGUACCCAAAGAAUAAGCACCGGCUAACUUCGUG